CAGCCGCCGCGGUAACACCGGCGGCCCGAGUGGUGAUCGUGAUUAUUGGGUCUAAAGGGUCCGUAGCCGGUUUGGUCAGUCCUCCGGGAAAUCUGAUAGCUUAACUAUUAGGCUUUCGGGGGAUACUGCCAGACUUGGAACCGGGAGAGGUAAGAGGUACUACAGGGGUAGGAGUGAAAUCUUGUAAUCCCUGUGGGACCACCUGUGGCGAAGGCGUCUUACCAGAACGGGUUCGACGGUGAGGGACGAAAGCUGGGGGCACGAACCGGAUUAGAUACCCGGGUAGUCCCAGCCGUAAACGAUGCUCGCUAGGUGUCAGGCAUGGCGCGACCGUGUCUGGUGCCGCAGGGAAGCCGUGAAGCGAGCCACCUGGGAAGUACGGCCGCAAGGCUGAAACUUAAAGGAAUUGGCGGGGGAGCACAACAACGGGUGGAGCCUGCGGUUUAAUUGGACUCAACGCCGGACAACUCACCGGGGACGACAGCAAUAUGUAGGUCAGGCUGAAGACCUUACCUGAAUCGCUGAGAGGAGGUGCAUGGCCGUCGCCAGUUCGUACUGUGAAGCAUCCUGUUAAGUCAGGCAACGAGCGAGACCCA
Molecule: ribosomal RNA, 596 nt
Filed under: unidentified archaeon
Lineage: Archaea
Description: bacterial SSU rRNA
Rfam family: Archaeal small subunit ribosomal RNA
Source: RNAcentral